RNAcentral lists this ribosomal RNA (505 nucleotides) under uncultured bacterium. RNAcentral's name for it is "partial 16S ribosomal RNA". It matches the Rfam family "Bacterial small subunit ribosomal RNA", at positions 28 to 507 of the family's 1533-position model. The record is from RNAcentral.
GACGAACGCUGGCGGCGUGCCUAAUACAUGCAAGUAGAACGCACAGUUUAUACCGUAGCUUGCUACACCAUAGACUGUGAGUUGCGAACGGGUGAGUAACGCGUAGGUAACCUGCCUGGUAGCGGGGGAUAACUAUUGGAAACGAUAGCUAAUACCGCAUAAUAUUAAUUAUUGCAUGAUAAUUAAUUGAAAGGUGCAAUUGCACCACUACCAGAUGGACCUGCGUUGUAUUAGCUAGUAGGUGAGGUAACGGCUCACCUAGGCGACGAUACAUAGCCGACCUGAGAGGGUGAUCGGCCACACUGGGACUGAGACACGGCCCAGACUCCUACGGGAGGCAGCAGUAGGGAAUCUUCGGCAAUGGACGAAAGUCUGACCGAGCAACGCCGCGUGAGUGAAGAAGGGUGUCGGAUCGUAAAGCUCUGUUGUAAGAGAAGAACGGGUGUGAGAGUGGAAAGUUCACACUGUGACGGUAUCUGACCAGAAAGGGACGGCUAACUACGUG